CCAUAGUAAAAUGCUACAACUUAUAUACCAUUCUCACUGAACAUGGAAUAUGUUUUCAAAAUGGAGUACUUAAUGGUUUGGAAGUAAAAGGGAUAGUUGACACAUAGUAGUUCUGUCCUAAUUUCUACCUACUUAAAACUGGUCACAGACCAAAGGAUUAAUUCCACAAGAGGAAGUUAGGAUUACAAAGAGACAGGCAAGAUAUUCACACUCCCUAAAAUUUGGUGAUAAUCGAGGUCCAUCAACUAUACUAUAUAUCUAAGAGUACCUAGUAACCCAGUGAAAAUGACAGUUCCUUUGGUGACCCCGUAUCAAUAAGCCAUAUGUUGCUUCAAAUCAUACAGAGUGCUUUGAACCUAGAUGUAUUCCUUCUUGUGUGACUUUUUAAGCCAGCAGAAGACUUGUAGAGACCGCUCCACGUGAGACUACACUCCUCAUCGUGUUUUCGUUCGAGCUGACCAUGUGGCCAUUACAAGGAACUACAUCUUUUGGAGCACACUCCAAAAAAAACAUUAGAGGGGUAAGAAGGAGGCAAAACAAAGGAAACAAAUGUGGGCCUGAAGGAGGAGAAUUACUAAAUGUCUCGCUGGGUUUCAGAGUGAAUAGAUCUAUUUUCUAGACGUGAGGAAAUUCAGACACAAAGAAGCCUGGACUUGUACAGUAGCGAGAGGAUGGCUCUUUUUCAAAGUCCAGCUCCUGGGGCGGAAUGACCGCACGUCGCAGGUGCUGCCCGGGGCUCUGUGCGGCAGGACGGGGUAGCGGCACGGGAGCGCGGCCC
RNAcentral lists this long non-coding RNA (778 nucleotides) under Cyanistes caeruleus (blue tit). Its description in RNAcentral is "lncRNA (ENSCCEG00000007540.1)". Lineage: Eukaryota; Metazoa; Chordata; Aves; Passeriformes; Paridae. The record is from RNAcentral.